AUGCCAAGGAUGCUCACCGCCAAUGUGGAACAGAUACGGGCGAUGGUUGCCAGCGCUGAAGGUCUAGGUGUGCCUCGCGGCUCUGGGAUGUGCAGGCGAGCUCUGCAGUCUGUUGCAUUCGUCAGCGAGGAGAAGAUCGCCACCAAAAUGGAAUACUUGAAGAAGACGUUUAGGUGGUCGGAUGCGGAGGUUGGCAUUGCUGUGUCCAAGGGCCCGUUUGUGCUGAAGAGGUCAGAGGACAUGCUGAAGCGCAGGUCCGAGUUCCUUAUCUCAGAGGUGGGGUUGGAGCCGGCCUACAUUGCUCAUCGGCCUUGUAUGCUCACUUACAGCCUGGAGGGCCGGCUCAGGCCCCGGUACUAUGUUAUGAGGUUUCUCAAGGAAAAUGGAUUGCUAGAUCAUGGCAGACACUACUACAGCAUGGUCUUGUUCAGCGAGAAGGUGUUUGUGGAGAAAUUCAUAUGCCCUCACAAGGAAGCUGCACCACACCUUGCUGAAGACUAUGCAGCUGCUUGCAAAGGGGAAGUGCCGACUAGAUUCAGAUUUACAUGA
RNAcentral lists this ribosomal RNA (549 nucleotides) under Triticum aestivum (bread wheat). RNAcentral describes it as "partial small subunit ribosomal RNA". Lineage: Eukaryota; Viridiplantae; Streptophyta; Magnoliopsida; Poales; Poaceae. The record is from RNAcentral.